AAUUGAUUAGUCUAAAAAAGACCCUUGUUUUGAAUACAAAAAAUGAUUUAUAAAAUAAUCAUCAAUUU
RNAcentral lists this transfer RNA (68 nucleotides) under Acantholachesilla sp. AcspLA. RNAcentral describes it as "tRNA-Ser". Lineage: Eukaryota; Metazoa; Arthropoda; Insecta; Psocodea; Lachesillidae. The record is from RNAcentral.